UGGGGAAUAUUGGACAAUGGGCGAAAGCCUGAUCCAGCCAUGCCGCGUGUGUGAAGAAGGUCUUCGGAUUGUAAAGCACUUUAAGUUGGGAGGAAGGGCAGUAAGCGAAUACCUUGCUGUUUUGACGUUACCGACAGAAUAAGCACCGGCUAACUCUGUGCCAGCAGCCGCGGUAAUACAGAGGGUGCAAGCGUUAAUCGGAAUUACUGGGCGUAAAGCGCGCGUAGGUGGUUCGUUAAGUUGAAUGUGAAAGCCCCGGGCUCAACCUGGGAACUGCAUCCAAAACUGGCGAGCUAGAGUAGGGCAGAGGGGGGUGGAAUUUCCUGUGUAGCGGAGAAAUGCGUAGAUAUAGGAAGGAACACCAGUGGCGAAGGCGACCACCUGGGCUCAUACUGACACUGAGGUGCGAAAGCGUGGGGAGCAAACAGG
Molecule: ribosomal RNA, 429 nt
Filed under: Pseudomonadota bacterium
Lineage: Bacteria; Pseudomonadati; Pseudomonadota
Description: Proteobacteria bacterium partial 16S ribosomal RNA
Rfam family: Bacterial small subunit ribosomal RNA
Source: RNAcentral